UUUGGCUAAAAACAAUAAUUAUUUCAUCGGUAGGGGGCAUUCUUGUAUUUCCAGAACAGGAAAGAAAUACAGCUCUGUUACUGUUCAGCUGUGCUGAAUAGCAUGCACAGCAGCAGCAUUCAGCACAGAAAGACUUGAGAAUAUGAAUAGCAACUGUUAACUGAAGGUUAGAAUUACUUAACUCUGCAUAUUCUGAAAAUCAGGUGACAUCUUAAAAGUGAAAAGUUUCUGAGAAGACUUGUUUUCAAAUGAGAAAGAGAUGAACAAUUACUUCAGCAGCAUUAGCCUUGCCAUCAAGGUGGUUCUUGGCUUUGUCACCUGCAUUCUCAAAUGGCUUAGAAUUCUCACAAAGAAGAGUGUAUUUGCUAUUACUGCUGCAUCCAUAGCUAAGGGUGGUUGAUACACACCACGCCCAGCCCAAAGGUAAUGAUGCACAC
Molecule: long non-coding RNA, 437 nt
Filed under: Coturnix japonica (Japanese quail)
Lineage: Eukaryota; Metazoa; Chordata; Aves; Galliformes; Phasianidae
Description: lncRNA (ENSCJPG00005012585.1)
Source: RNAcentral